UGGGGCACCUGGGUGGCUCAGUCAGUUGAGGGUCUGCCUUUGGCUCGGGUCAGGAGCUCAUGGUUCGCGAGUUUGAGCUCCAUAUUGGGAUCACUCCUGUCAGUGUGGACCCUGCUUUGGCUCCUCUGUGCCCCCCGCCCCUUUCUCUGCC
Herpailurus yagouaroundi (jaguarundi) is the source of this 151-nucleotide long non-coding RNA. RefSeq lists it as uncharacterized. NCBI's taxonomy places the organism in Eukaryota, Metazoa, Chordata, Mammalia, Carnivora, Felidae. The record is from RefSeq and is a predicted model, not a curated record. The transcript is spliced from 3 exons.